GGAGGGAUGCCGGAGCGGCCGAUCGGGUCCGUCUUGAAAACGGAAGUGGGGUAACUCACCGUGGGUUCGAAUCCCACUCCCUCCG
Molecule: transfer RNA, 85 nt
Filed under: Chloroflexota bacterium
Lineage: Bacteria; Bacillati; Chloroflexota
Description: tRNA-Ser
Rfam family: tRNA
About the family: Transfer RNA (tRNA) molecules are approximately 80 nucleotides in length.
Source: RNAcentral